This 293-nucleotide ribosomal RNA is filed under the name uncultured eukaryote. RNAcentral describes it as "partial 18S ribosomal RNA". It matches the Rfam family "Eukaryotic small subunit ribosomal RNA", at positions 6 to 298 of the family's 1831-position model. The record is from RNAcentral.
GGUUGAUCCUGCCAGUAGUCAUAUGCUUGUCCCAAAGAUUAAGCCAUGCAUGUCUAAGUAUAAACAACUUUAUACAGUGAAACUGCGAAUGGCUCAUUAUAUCAGUUAUAAUUUAUUUGAUAGUCUCUUUACUACUCGGAUAACCGUGGUAAUUCUAGAGCUAAUACGUGCAUAAAGCCCAACUGCUUGCGGAAGGGCUGUAUUUAUUAGAUAAAAAACCAAUGCCAGCGAUGGCCCCUGGUGAUUCAUAAUAACUGUGCGGAUCGUAUGGCCUUGCGCCGACGACGUUUCAU